Long non-coding RNA from Gasterosteus aculeatus aculeatus (three-spined stickleback), 922 nucleotides. Lineage: Eukaryota; Metazoa; Chordata; Actinopteri; Perciformes; Gasterosteidae. The record is from Ensembl.
GGUGAGUAAGGAGCAGGUGGAAAUGAUGAGCACUGAUUAUGUAUCUCUUGAAAAGCAGUGAGCAGGACCUGGUGAGCGAGGCUCGGGAGCAGACGCUGAGGGGUAAGGCCGAGGAGCGAAGCCGGGGGAGACAAACACUGAAACCUGCUCACUGCGAGAAAACAAAAUAAAACUUAUUGCCCUGGAGAACCGUGUGUCCUUAACGCGAACCCCGCAGGUGGUAGCUUGAGCCUGCUACAGAGAACUUUCCUACGUUGGACGGGCGGUGAGGUUCUUUCUCAGGCACAUCUGGAGGAAGUCAUUGCAGUCUGGAGAGAGAAGGAGAAGAAAGCCUCCUUCCGCUCCGAGGUAGCUCCAGAAAUUCUUAGCGGCCAUCGGCCUCUCCGUCACCAGCACCAGCUCCUUCUCCAACUGGUAACAGUCCAGCAGGGAUACGUAUGGCGACGUCCCCUCUGAUUCGGCCGACAGCUUCAACAUGAUGGCGACCUCUACGGGGGUCGUGUUCCCUUCGUUGUCCUGUAACGCCGCGCCAGAGGUGAGGAUUAGAGAGAUUCCUCCGUGAUACAUUCUCAAACAGCGUUCUGCCUUCAAUAUUGAAGGAAUGGUUAAGUUAACUUUACGGAUUGUUUUAUUGUUUAAGGACUAAAUAAGUGUGGUCACUUUAUUUUGACAUCUGCAAUGAAACGUGAAGUGAUGCUGCAGGAAGUAGAGAGUUGUAGAGCAGUAAACGGCCGUGUGGCAUUCCACAUAUAAUCAAUCAAUCCUGUCUCUGAAUCCCCCAGAAAAGCAAUGGCUGUAAGUGUUUUAUGCUCUUUAUCUGUUGAACGAUUAAGAAUAGUGACUUUGUUACGUUUCUCUGAUUCAGUUGAUUAAGAUGUUUUGUAUUCUCUUUCCUAGUUUUUACUCUGAUUCAAAGAUGUAU